UGGCAAAUAGCAAGUGGUGGAUAGGUGUCAGAUAUUUUCAUUCGAUAUUCAUUUUCAUACAUACAGGUGUUUUAUUCAUCCAACAGAAAAAAACUAUGUUAGAUAUCACCAGAAUGUGCAUCCCAGGAUCUUCAAAAAGCCAGACAAGAGGAAGGAAUUAGGAAUAGCUAUUUGAACUGACUGACACUUAAUCUGCCAUGUGGCCCCUGCCGCCUUCUUUCAUCUAAGGGGAGAAGGACCUGGAAGUGAGCUGACACCUUCCAAUGCAACCCAGAUCUGGAAGCUGGCAGAGGAGAGGCCGAGACCCAGGUGGU
Molecule: long non-coding RNA, 314 nt
Filed under: Capra hircus (goat)
Lineage: Eukaryota; Metazoa; Chordata; Mammalia; Artiodactyla; Bovidae
Description: lncRNA (ENSCHIG00000004343.1)
Source: RNAcentral